UUAAUUCGAUGAUACGCGAGAACCUUACCCGGGCUUGAACUGCCGUGAACGAUACAGAGAUGUUGAGUCCUUCGGGACGCCGUGGAGUGCUGCAUGUUGUGUCAGCUCGUGCCGUGAGUGUCGGCUUAAGUGCCAUAACGAGCGCAACCCCUCUCCGUAUUGCCAUCGGGUGAUGCCGGCACUCUGCGGACACUGCCACCGUAAGGUGCGAGGAAGGUGGGGAUGACGUCAAAUCAGCACGGCCCUUACGUCCGGGGCUACACACGUGUUACAAUGGGUGGUACAGAGAGCCGGGAGUACGCAAGUGCCCCCUAAUCAUGAAAUCCAUCCUCAGUUCGGACUGGGGUCUGCAACCCGACCCCACGAAGCUGGAUUCGCUAGUAAUCGCGCAUCAGCCAUGGCGCGGUGAAUACGUUCCCGGGCCUUGUACACACCGCCCGUCAAGCCAUGAAAGCCUGGGGCGCCUGAAGUCCGUGACCGCGAGGGUCGGCCUAGGGUGAAACAGGUGAUUGGGGCU
Molecule: ribosomal RNA, 517 nt
Filed under: uncultured rumen bacterium
Lineage: Bacteria
Description: bacterial SSU rRNA
Rfam family: Bacterial small subunit ribosomal RNA
Source: RNAcentral